RNAcentral lists this long non-coding RNA (905 nucleotides) under Nicotiana benthamiana. RNAcentral describes it as "long non-coding RNA (NBEN_LNC020426)". The record is from RNAcentral. Lineage: Eukaryota; Viridiplantae; Streptophyta; Magnoliopsida; Solanales; Solanaceae.
AGGCUGAAAAAGAACAACCAGAUAGGAUACCAUCAGAUGUAUGCCAAGAAGGUUCUAUAUACCACCAUUAUCUAAAAAAGAAGGUUCUAUACCUACCACAACAACAAAUAUUACAAUGGAAAUAAAAAGAGUGAUAGUACAGAUGUUUUCCUCGAAAAUAGGCCAUCUUUAGUAUGUGAAUAAAAAGGCUCAAUGCACUAGGCUACCGCUGUACGUGGAGUCCGGAAAAGGGCCGGAACACAAAUGUCUUCAAUAUGUGAAUGAACUUCACAAAUAUGUAGGGCAACACUGCAGGUGUUAAAACCAAAAGAUCUGAACUACCUCCUUUAAGCAUAUUUUAUUAGCGGGAUGGACAUCACCUUUGUUUUCACACAAAAAAAGACAUUGUUUACCAGAAAUGAAUGCUUACUUUGUCGAAGUCGCUGCUUUGAUAAGCCUUCUCCAUGUCCCUGCAUAAUUCCGUCAAACGUCAGAACCAAUAUCACUCAAUUGAAUAAGGUAAAUUAAAACCUUGUUAAAGUCUGGCCUUUCUGCACUAUUUUAGGUAACCUCUUUCAGGUAGUAAUAUAGGCAACAUUCGGUAUCUAUACAUCAUUUCGUUUCACCUACUUCCUGCGCUUCUUCUCUUUUUCACUUUUAUAAGGCCUUACCUACGACUACACCAUUCGAGGAAAUAAGAGACAAAGGGGGAACAAAACUUAGAUAAAGAUCAGAAGGUGAAAAGUCGACCACGCACACACAUGCAUUAUGAGUCGAUGUAAUCAUGAACAGAAUGUUUCGAUGAGAUAUCUUUGGACUCAGAUAGAGAAAAUGAUCGACCCUGUGAUGGAGUUUUCGGGGCCAAAAGUAGGUUUAGAGGAAAGUUUCGGUUGGGAGAAUUUAAACGAAAAGAGAAAAGGGGGUUU